GCGAAGGUGGCGGAAUUGGUAGACGCGCUAGCUUCAGGUGUUAGUGUCCUUACGGACGUGGGGGGUCGAGAACCCCCCCACACCCCA
RNAcentral lists this transfer RNA (87 nucleotides) under Salmonella enterica. RNAcentral describes it as "tRNA-Leu". The record is from RNAcentral. Lineage: Bacteria; Pseudomonadati; Pseudomonadota; Gammaproteobacteria; Enterobacterales; Enterobacteriaceae.